Molecule: non-coding RNA, 54 nt
Organism: Salmo salar (Atlantic salmon)
Lineage: Eukaryota; Metazoa; Chordata; Actinopteri; Salmoniformes; Salmonidae
Source: Rfam
UAUGCACUCUACUGUAAGUCGCUCUGGAUAAGAGCGUCUGCUAAAUGAUUUAUU